AUUGAACGCUGGCGGCAUGCCUUACACAUGCAAGUCGAACGGCAGCGCGGACUUCGGUCUGGCGGCGAGUGGCGAACGGGUGAGUAAUACAUCGGAACGUACCCUGUUGUGGGGGAUAACUAGUCGAAAGAUUAGCUAAUACCGCAUACGACCUGAGGGUGAAAGUGGGGGACCGCAAGGCCUCACGCAGCAGGAGCAGCCGAUGUCUGAUUAGCUAGUUGGUGGGGUAAAGGCCCACCAAGGCGACGAUCAGUAGCUGGUCUGAGAGGACGAUCAGCCACACUGGGACUGAGACACGGCCCAGACUCCUACGGGAGGCAGCAGUGGGGAAUUUUGGACAAUGGGGGCAACCCUGAUCCAGCAAUGCCGCGUGUGUGAAGAAGGCCUUCGGGUUGUAAAGCACUUUUGUCCGGAAAGAAAUCGCGCUGGUUAAUACCUGGCGUGGAUGACGGUACCGGAAGAAUAAGCACCGGCUAACUACGUG
RNAcentral lists this ribosomal RNA (484 nucleotides) under uncultured bacterium. Its description in RNAcentral is "partial 16S ribosomal RNA". It matches the Rfam family "Bacterial small subunit ribosomal RNA", at positions 30 to 507 of the family's 1533-position model. The record is from RNAcentral.